RNAcentral lists this unclassified non-coding RNA (220 nucleotides) under Hevea brasiliensis (rubber tree). Lineage: Eukaryota; Viridiplantae; Streptophyta; Magnoliopsida; Malpighiales; Euphorbiaceae. The record is from RNAcentral.
AUAUGAUCCAUAAUGGACUUCUUUUCGUGAUAGAGCCUUAAAUGCAGCAACAAAUGAUUGAAUCUUCUCAACAACAGACGUUAGCUUGAAAGUUAAAUAUAAUCCUGUUGUUAGCGAUGAAAAGAGGCUCCCUUGAUCUUUAUUCAAGAAGAAUCUGUACCAUACAGGUGUUGGUAAUAAUGCACGGUACAAUAGAAGAGUGUAUUCCACAAGAGUUAAG